This 424-nucleotide ribosomal RNA is filed under the name Verrucomicrobiota bacterium. RNAcentral's name for it is "Verrucomicrobia bacterium partial 16S ribosomal RNA". It matches the Rfam family "Bacterial small subunit ribosomal RNA", at positions 355 to 776 of the family's 1533-position model. The record is from RNAcentral. Lineage: Bacteria; Pseudomonadati; Verrucomicrobiota.
UGAGGAAUAUUGGUCAAUGGGCGAGAGCCUGAACCAGCCAAGUAGCGUGCAGGAAGACGGCCCUAUGGGUUGUAAACUGCUUUUAUGUGGGGAUAAAGUGCGUGACGUGUCAUGCAUUGCAGGUACCACAUGAAUAAGGACCGGCUAAUUCCGUGCCAGCAGCCGCGGUAAUACGGAAGGUCCAGGCGUUAUCCGGAUUUAUUGGGUUUAAAGGGAGUGUAGGCGGCCUGUUAAGCGUGUUGUGAAAUGUAGAUGCUCAACAUCUGAACUGCAGCGCGAACUGGCUGGCUUGAGUACACGCAACGUGGGCGGAAUUCAUGGUGUAGCGGUGAAAUGCUUAGAUAUCAUGAGGAACUCCUAUUGCGAAGGCAGCUCACGGGAGUGUCACUGACGCUUAAGCUCGAAGGUGCGGGUAUCAAACAGG